UACGGAGGGUGCGAGCGUUAAUCGGAAUUACUGGGCGUAAAGGGUGCGUAGGUGGUUUGACGAGUUGACUGUAGAAUUCCUGGGCUCAACCUGGGCAUGUCGGUUAAUACUGUUGGACUGGAGUAGGGGAGAGGGCAGUGGAAUUUCCGGUGUAGCGGUGAAAUGCGCAGAUAUCGGAAGGAACACCGGUGGCGAAGGCGGCUGCCUGGCCUUAUACUGACACUGAGGCACGAAAGCGUGGGGAGCAAAC
RNAcentral lists this ribosomal RNA (250 nucleotides) under uncultured bacterium. RNAcentral's name for it is "partial 16S ribosomal RNA". It matches the Rfam family "Bacterial small subunit ribosomal RNA", at positions 524 to 773 of the family's 1533-position model. The record is from RNAcentral.